UGGGGAAUAUUGCGCAAUGGGCGGAAGCCUGACGCAGCGACGCCGCGUGGGGGAUGAAGGCCUUCGGGUUGUAAACCCCUUUCAGCAGGGACGAAGCGGAAGUGACGGUACCUGCAGAAGAAGCGCCGGCUAACUACGUGCCAGCAGCCGCGGUAACACGUAGGGCGCAAGCGUUGUCCGGAAUUAUUGGGCGUAAAGAGCUCGUAGGUGGUCUGUUGCGUCCGCUGUGAAAACUCAGGGCUUAACCCUGAGCCUGCAGUGGAUACGGGCAGACUAGAGGUAGGUAGGGGAGAAUGGAAUUCCUGGUGUAGCGGUGAAAUGCGCAGAUAUCAGGAGGAACACCGGUGGCGAAGGCGGUUCUCUGGGCCUUACCUGACACUGAGGAGCGAAAGCGUGGGGAGCGAACA
This 407-nucleotide ribosomal RNA is filed under the name uncultured Acidothermus sp. Its description in RNAcentral is "bacterial SSU rRNA". It matches the Rfam family "Bacterial small subunit ribosomal RNA", at positions 355 to 774 of the family's 1533-position model. The record is from RNAcentral. Lineage: Bacteria; Bacillati; Actinomycetota; Actinomycetes; Acidothermales; Acidothermaceae.